The sequence is a transfer RNA, 84 nucleotides long. It matches the Rfam family "tRNA". From Rfam's summary of the family: Transfer RNA (tRNA) molecules are approximately 80 nucleotides in length.
GGAAAGAUGGCAGAGCGGUUAUUGCGCCAGUUUGGAAGACUGGUAUCAUUUUUUGAUGCGAGGGUUCAAAUCCCUCUCUUUCCG